Oncorhynchus tshawytscha (Chinook salmon) is the source of this 1861-nucleotide long non-coding RNA. The record is from Ensembl. NCBI's taxonomy places the organism in Eukaryota, Metazoa, Chordata, Actinopteri, Salmoniformes, Salmonidae.
CAAAGAAGACGGUGAUAGAGCUGACUAGUUUGUGGGUUUUGAAAGGCGGUUUGAUGCUGUCAAACGGGACCAAAAAAUACUAUUUUGACAAAAAUCUUAAACGGUUAUUGUUCUGCUGGUUUCCAGAGACACCUUGUGGUAGAUGUGAAGAUUGCGUUUCUUAUUUUCAUUCAAGACGAAGUGGAACUUCGAGGGGAAAACUCAGAGAUGAUCUGAAGUUCUUAAAAGUACUUGACAUCGCUAUGGAAACAGAAUUAUUUGCCGGUAUUCCGAAGAUUCCUUAUAUACCCAACGCUGGAGCUCGAAACGUCUUGUGUUUCCAACACUACAAUGCAGAAGAAGUGCUGCUGGGCAGACGUAUGGAGGACUGGCUGAGAUUCUCCGUCUGUUACUGGCACUCCUUCUGUGGGACUGGUGCCGACCCUUUUGGGUUCCAGACACAACACAGACCCUGGAAUGAGGGUGCUACCCCCAUGGAAUGUGCCAAGAAGAGACUCCAUGCAGCCUUUGAGUUCUUCACCAAACUUGGUGUGAAGUACUACACCUUUCAUGACAGGGACAUGUCCCCUGAGGGAAGCACUCUGGAGGAGUCCAACAGCAACCUGGAUGAGAUGACAGACCUGGCCCUGCAGCUACAGAAUAGGACUGGGGUCAAGGUGCUGUGGGUCACCUGCAAUCUGUUUGCUCACUCAAGAGUACAAGGAGAAGAUAGGGUUGAAGUGCCAGUUCCUCAUUGAACCCAAGCCUAAAGAGCCAUGCAAACAUCAAUACGACUAUGAUGCAAUGAGUGUCAUAGGCUUCCUGAAGCAUUAUGACCUGGACAGCCAUUUCAAACUGAACAUCGAACCCAACCACACCACUCUGGCUGGGCAUUCCUAUGAACACGACGUCGUCAUGGCCUCUGUGUUUGGCAUGCUGGGCUCUGUGGACUCCAACACGGGUUCUCCUGACCUGGGCUGGGACACAGACCAGUUCCCCAUGGACAUCAGGAACGGAACACCACCAUGAUAAUGAAGACUGUGAUAGAGCAGGGUGGUCUGCAGCCGGGGGGUCUGAACUUCGAUGCUAAGGUGCGUAGGGAGUCCACAGACCUGGAGGACCUGUUCAUAGCCCACGUCGGAGCCAUGGACGCCUUCGCACGCGGCCUGAGGAACGCAGUCAGGAUCAUAGAGGAAGGAGUUAUCACCAGCAUGGUCAAGGAGCGCUACAUGAGCUUCAGCCAUGGGAUUGGUCAGAAAGUAGAGGAUGGCAGCACCUCAUUGGAGGAGCUGGAGGACUUUGUCAAGCAAAAUGGGGAGCCCAAAGUCACAUCAGGCAAACAGGAGAAAUAUGAAACGGUCUUUAACCACUACCUUUGAAGACAUGUGGUGAAGUCUUGUUUGACCAUGAAAUCCCUUGUCCUGAGUGGUAUAGUGUCCAUCCAGACCUUUCAUAAUAGUAUGCUUAGAGAGUGAUAUAGUUUCACAUGACUAACUAUUAUUACAGUUAUAGUAUAAAGAAUUAAUCAGUGGAGUCUUGUGAAUGUGGACUAUUUUAAUACACACUCCUGUAAUGUUGACAUAUGAUUAGAUUAUGAGGCCAUCAAUGGUAAAGACCAGAAAUAUGAAUUUAAUUUAGUAUAAAUUACAAGGCAUUUCAAAUACUGAAUUAAGGAAUUAACUAAUUGAUCAGUUUUUCAUACUGGAGUUGAAUAAAAAGAAGCAAACCCUAUUGUGUCAGUGCUUUGCAUUACUAUUAUAGUUAUUAAAAUAAAUAUAUAUAGUGUUGCUUUUUAGCUUCUAAUGUUAGAGUAACAUUAAAAAGGUUGAUGUCUUGGCAAAAAGACUUUAAAAAAAACAUACCAUAUUUAAUAAGGCUGCCC